UUGGCUUUCAAGAAGACAGUGAUUGAAGAUGAAAAUGAAGAGAUGAAAGAUGUCUGUAAUGUUGAAGAAGAAAAUGAUGGUGAUGAUUCUAGUGAUGAAGAUUGGGGAAAGAAUCCAGAGAUGGACCUCAGUGAUGAGGAUGAUAUGGAGUUGGAGGAUGAGGAAGAAGAGGAUAAUAUCAAGGUUGACAAAAAAGAAAAGCAGAGUGGGAAGAGUGAAUCAAGGAAAAGGAAGGCCUGCGGAGCUGGAAAGCUGGGUUGCGGGAAGAAGAGCGAGGUUGUUGGGGAUGUGAGUAAAGAAGAAUUGAAAGUUUCA
RNAcentral lists this unclassified non-coding RNA (315 nucleotides) under Hevea brasiliensis (rubber tree). Lineage: Eukaryota; Viridiplantae; Streptophyta; Magnoliopsida; Malpighiales; Euphorbiaceae. The record is from RNAcentral.